RNAcentral lists this ribosomal RNA (253 nucleotides) under uncultured bacterium. RNAcentral's name for it is "partial 16S ribosomal RNA". It matches the Rfam family "Bacterial small subunit ribosomal RNA", at positions 524 to 776 of the family's 1533-position model. The record is from RNAcentral.
UACGAAGGGGGCUAGCGUUGCUCGGAAUCACUGGGCGUAAAGGGCGCGUAGGCGGUUUGUCGCGUCGAAUGUGAAAACCCGGGGCUCAACUCCGGACCUGCAUUCGAUACGGGCAGACUAGAGUUCGGUAGGGGAGACUGGAAUUCCUGGUGUAGCGGUGAAAUGCGCAGAUAUCAGGAGGAACACCGGUGGCGAAGGCGGGUCUCUGGGCCGAUACUGACGCUGAGGAGCGAAAGCGUGGGGAGCGAACAGG